This 786-nucleotide ribosomal RNA is filed under the name uncultured bacterium. RNAcentral describes it as "bacterial SSU rRNA". It matches the Rfam family "Bacterial small subunit ribosomal RNA", at positions 8 to 796 of the family's 1533-position model. The record is from RNAcentral.
AGAGUUUGAUCCUGGCUCAGAACGAACGCUGGCGGCGUGCUUAACACAUGCAAGUCGAGUGCGCGCCUGUAGCAAUACAGGUGGCGCACGGCGCACGGGUGCGUAACACGUGGGUAAUCUGCCCUCUGAUGGGGAAUAACCCGCCGAAAGGCGGGCUAAUACCGCAUAACAUUCCUUGGAUUUCGGUCCGGGGACUCAAAGGCGUAAGUCGUCGGAGGAGGAGCCCGCGCACGAUUAGCUAGUUGGUAGGGUAAUGGCCUACCAAGGCUUUGAUCGUUAGCUGGUCUGAGAGGAUGGCCAGCCACACUGGAACUGAGACACGGUCCAGACUCCUACGGGAGGCAGCAGUGGGGAAUCUUGCACAAUGGGCGAAAGCCUGAUGCAGCGACGCCGCGUGGGGGAUGAAGCAUUUCGGUGUGUAAACCCCUUUCGAUCCGGACGAAUACCUCGCAAGAGGGGUGACGGUACGGAUAUAAGAAGCCCCGGCUAACUACGUGCCAGCAGCCGCGGUAAGACGUAGGGGGCCAGCGUUGUUCGGAAUUACUGGGUGUAAAGGGUUCGUAGGCGGUGUGGCAAGUUGGGAGUGAAAUCUCUGGGCUCAACCCAGAGGCUGCUUCCAAAACUGCUGUGCUUGAGUGUGAGAGAGGCGCGUGGAAUUGCAGGUGUAGCGGUGAAAUGCGUAGAUAUCUGCAGGAACACCCGUGGCGAAAGCGGCGCGCUGGAUCACUACUGACGCUGAGGAACGAAAGCUAGGGGAGCAAACAGGAUUAGAUACCCUAGUAGUCC